AGGGGCAAAUUGGUUCAAUCUCCU
RNAcentral lists this non-coding RNA (24 nucleotides) under Arabidopsis thaliana (thale cress). The record is from RNAcentral. Lineage: Eukaryota; Viridiplantae; Streptophyta; Magnoliopsida; Brassicales; Brassicaceae.